RNAcentral lists this ribosomal RNA (406 nucleotides) under uncultured bacterium. Its description in RNAcentral is "partial 16S ribosomal RNA". It matches the Rfam family "Bacterial small subunit ribosomal RNA", at positions 30 to 526 of the family's 1533-position model. The record is from RNAcentral.
AUUGAACGCUGGCGGCAGGCCUAACACAUGCAAGUCGAACGAGUGGCGGACGGGUGAGUAAUGUCUGGGAAACUGCCUGAUGGAGGGGGAUAACUACUGGAAACGGUAGCUAAUACCGCAUACCAUCAGAUGUGCCCAGAUGGGAGUAGCUUUUUGGUGGGGUAACGGCUCACCAAGGCGACGAUCCCUAGCUGGUCUGAGAGGUUGACCGGCAACACGGGAACUGAGACACGGUCCAGCUUCCUACGGAAGGCAGCAGGGGGGAAUAUUGCACAAUGGGCGCAAGCCUGAUGCAGACAUGCCGCGUGUAUGAAGAAGGCCUUCGGUUUGUAAAGUACUUUCAGCGGGGAGGCGUUACCCGAAGAAGAAGCAACGGCUAACUCCGUGCCAGCAGCCGCGGUAAUAC